RNAcentral lists this ribosomal RNA (399 nucleotides) under uncultured Streptococcus sp. Its description in RNAcentral is "bacterial SSU rRNA". It matches the Rfam family "Bacterial small subunit ribosomal RNA", at positions 355 to 743 of the family's 1533-position model. The record is from RNAcentral. Lineage: Bacteria; Bacillati; Bacillota; Bacilli; Lactobacillales; Streptococcaceae.
UAGGGAAUCUUCGGCAAUGGGGGCAACCCCUGACCGAGCAACGCCGCGUGAGUGAAGAAGGUUUUCGGAUCGUAAAGCUCUGUUGUAAGAGAAGAACUGUGAGAAGAGUGGAAAGUUUCUCACUUGACGGUAUCUUACCAGAAAGGGACGGCUAACUACGUGCCAGCAGCCGCGGUAAUACGUAGGUCCCGAGCGUUGUCCGGAUUUAUUUGGGCGUAAAGCGAGCGCAGGCGGUUUGAUAAGUCUGAAGUAAAAGGCUGUGGCUUAACCAUAGUACGCUUUGGAAACUGUCAAACUUGAGUGCAGAAGGGGAGAGUAGGAAUUCCAUGUGUAGCGGUGAAAUGCGUAGAUAUAUGGAGGAACACCGGUGGCGAAAGCGGCUCUCUGGUCUGUAACUGA